RNAcentral lists this ribosomal RNA (156 nucleotides) under Clostridium botulinum. Its description in RNAcentral is "partial 23S ribosomal RNA". It matches the Rfam family "Bacterial large subunit ribosomal RNA", at positions 2773 to 2925 of the family's 2925-position model. The record is from RNAcentral. Lineage: Bacteria; Bacillati; Bacillota; Clostridia; Eubacteriales; Clostridiaceae.
GAAAGCAUCUAAGCGUGAAGCCCACCUCAAGAUUAGAUUUCCCAUAGCGUAAGCUAGUAAGACCCCUGAAAGACUAUCAGGUUGAUAGGUUGGAGGUGUAAGUACAGUAAUGUAUUCAGCUGACCAAUACUAAUAGGUCGAGGGCUUGAUCAAAUU